ACCUUGCGCGCAUGACCUCUUAUAUUAGAUAUUAGAUAUUAGCAACUGCCAUGGCCGGCUAGCUUGGCGCUCUCAUCACACUGCUUGCGCUAGCAUUGCGUAUCUCUUCUUCUUCUUCUUGCCCGGCUUGACUUCGAAAAAAGAUACUUCGUUGAUCUGCCCGGUCACCGCACCCGGGUCGUCCUUGUGCACCGUGCUUAAAUGAUGGCGGAUGGUGAAGCCACGCGCGUGCAAGUCCAAGACCAUCUGCGAUUCUGCAUCGCCGCACAUACGGACACCAGCAUCUGGUACAAAAAAGCUGACGACAAACAAUGUAAUUUAUAAAAAAAAAAAGAUUAUCAAUAUAGGCCAGCAGCCAGCUCAAUAUAAUGACAUUGACAGCUUAGUCAGCAGAGAAAACAGCAAUUAAGAAAUCUUUAAAACACAAAUGUGUGUGUGUGUGAGUGUGUGUGUGUGUGUGUGUGUGUGAGAGAGAGAGAGAGAGAGAGAUGGUCAUGCUUGGCUCCUCGCACGCCAUCCGCAGUAGAGCCAGCAACGUAGUACACGCCCACAGCUAGCCUGGGGGAGCUCGACUGGCCUGGCUGGCAGCUACGCGAGUGGCAUACAGGGAGCCAGGCAUAUCCCCUAGCUUUUCACCUCUUUCCGACCUGCUGCUGCUGCUGCUUCCCAACGCAUGGACGAUGUACGUACACCUACCGUCUCC
Molecule: long non-coding RNA, 703 nt
Filed under: Panicum hallii
Lineage: Eukaryota; Viridiplantae; Streptophyta; Magnoliopsida; Poales; Poaceae
Description: long non-coding RNA (PHAL_LNC000850)
Source: RNAcentral